GAGAUAAAGAAGCCCAACAUUGGUCCAUCAGUGUUCUGUGGAGUUGGUCUGGCUCUUGGGCUGCUGGGUCUCGCCAUUGGAGUCUUUUUUAUUGUCAAAGGAAAUUAAUACAAUAACACUGACAACUGUAGAUGCUCUUUUUUUUAGUUCUCAUGUAAAGUUGCAUAUGUGCUACAUAAGUUACUUGUUAAUUUUGUUAAUUUAUGUUUUCAAGACUAUAUAUGUAAUAUGCAAUACACAGCAGGUGAUAUGUAACACCUGAAAUAAAGUCUUCAUAAGACAUUAUAUAAUAUUCAGCUGUUGCAUAUGUUAUGGUGACUUUUAAUGGUUUAUGGUCAUGGUUUAAAGUAAGUUAUUUCUAUCUUUUGCUGUAGUGUGUCAGUAAAAAAUAUUGGUUAACAUUUCCAAACAUUCUGUUUGCCAUUAAUUGUAAUAAUCUAGUGAGAUUUUUGUUUGCACAAGGAGUCUGACAACAGCCAGUGCUCCACACAGACAUCUGAUCUCACCUUCAUCCAGUCUGUCUCUGUAAUGACAUGAAGAAACAGAAAAAGUGAGACUAAAUCCGGAAGAACUGUGGCAACAUCUCCAAGAUGUUUCAAGUCCAUCUCUUUCAGAGUCUGACAGGAAUAAGCUUAUAACAGGUGCUGCAGGUCUGGUGUUGGGGCUGAUUAUGGCAGUAGGAGGACUGAUUUACUGUAAACGAAAACACACAGCACUCAUCAUAUCAGCUGGAAGUCAACAACUUGCAUGCUCUGAACCUCUGCAGACACUCAGCAAUGCUGAAGAGUAGUAGAUGAACAGUGAAUAACAGACUGUAUCAGCAUAUGAAAGACACUGAAACCUUCCAUAAGAUCUGCAGUGACAAAAAUGUUUACCAAAAAGAACCAGUUCAACUGCAAGUUUUAUUGAUCAAAUUCAGUUUAACUAUAAAUUAACUAACUGAUCAAUUUCAGCUUAUUAACUGCAAGUGAUUGCAAGAUCAAAGAGAGAGAAGUUUUCCUCUGUGGUUUGUUCUAAUUGCACAUAUUCCUUUUUGUAAAGGUUAAUGAAAAUGAAUCUACAUUUGUAUGUUAAUUCAUCAUCUAUUUAUUCAGUCUAGGGUGCGUGCUCUGUCAUAGACAUCUCAGUGAAAGUAAAUCAACAUAUUAUUAUUAUUAUUAUUAGGGAUGCAUGGCAUUGGAUUUUUUCUUCUCUUUUUUUUUCAGAAAAAAUGCAGUGGUAACCUUAAUAUUUUAUUUUAAGAUUUAACAUUUGUAGAUGGUCUAAAGCAAAAGAGUUGUACAAAUUCAGAAAAUCUUUUAGAGCUCAUAAUUUAUUUUAAAAUAUAUAACUUAUAUUACACAUUAUUGGAUA
Molecule: long non-coding RNA, 1353 nt
Organism: Labeo rohita (rohu)
Lineage: Eukaryota; Metazoa; Chordata; Actinopteri; Cypriniformes; Cyprinidae
Exons: 3
Source: RefSeq, a predicted model, not a curated record